GCUGGGCGCCGUGGUGCGUGCCUGUAGUCCCAGCUACUCAAGAGGCUGAAUGGGGAGGAUCGCUUGAGCCCAGGAGUUCUGGGCUGUAGUGCGCUAUGCCGAUCGGGUGUCCGCACUAAGUUCGGCAUCAAUAUGGUGACCUCCCGGGAGCGAGGGACCACCAGGUUGCCUAAGUAGGGGUUAACCGGCCCAGGUCGGAAACGGAGCAGGUCAAAACUCCCGUGUUGAUCAGUAGUGGGAUCGCACCUGUGAAUCGCCACUGUACUCCGGCCUGGGCAACAUAGCGAGACCCCGUCUCUA
Unclassified non-coding RNA from Callithrix jacchus (white-tufted-ear marmoset), 300 nucleotides. It matches the Rfam family "Metazoan signal recognition particle RNA". From Rfam's summary of the family: The signal recognition particle (SRP) is a universally conserved ribonucleoprotein. NCBI's taxonomy places the organism in Eukaryota, Metazoa, Chordata, Mammalia, Primates, Cebidae. The record is from Ensembl.